UUUGAUCCUGGCUCAGGAUGAACGCUGGCUGUGUGCCUAAUACAUGCAUGUCGAGCGAUGAUAGCAAUAUCAUAGCGGCGAAUGGGUGAGUAACACGUACUCAACGUACCUUUUAGAUUGGGAUAGCGGAUGGAAACAUCCGAUAAUACCGAAUACUUAUUAUUUUUGCAUGAAAGUAAUAUAAAAGGAAGCGU
Molecule: ribosomal RNA, 194 nt
Filed under: Mycoplasmopsis bovis
Lineage: Bacteria; Bacillati; Mycoplasmatota; Mycoplasmoidales; Metamycoplasmataceae
Description: Mycoplasma bovis partial 16S ribosomal RNA
Rfam family: Bacterial small subunit ribosomal RNA
Source: RNAcentral